CAGGUGCCUUAAUUUAUUAAUGCCAGAAGAAGAGAGAGAUUCAAUAACAGCAACAACAAAAAAGGGAUUCCUGGCAGCAACCGUAUAUCAAAGUCAUUGCUUAUCCAGUUACCUUGCUAAGUACUGGAUGAUUGCUUCCGCAGGAGUGAGUCUGUGCAAAUGCAUGAUUUAUUUGAUUUGCAUGCUGAGCUAAAUGAAGAUUCAGUUUGGACUAUACCAAAUGUGAUUUUUUUUCAUUUAAAAAAAUUAUUAUUAUUGCUGAAAUGAAAAGGAAAUACAUUUUGAGUUUAACAAAGCCUAUACUGAAACUUCUCCAAUAGCGCUUGGAGGCACUUGCAUGGGAGACUGCAAUUCAAAGCCCUGCUUACCACAGGGGAUUUCCUCUCCCAUAUCCACCUUUCCAGGUGAGAGACCCUCUUCUUCCAGCCGUCUCCAGAAGUGGGGGUCCCUGCCACCCUAUUUGAAUAGGCUGAGUGAGGUAAGAACAUAUCAACGGAGCAGCAAGUUUGGUCUCAUACUGGGGUGCAGGACUGAGCCCCUGUGCCCUGCUCAGGGCCCCUGCGAUGAACAUCACUCUCAGGCACACCAAGCAGUACAGUCGGAAUAGACUCAGUUUAUUGCUAGCGAAUAGGGUUAAAGACAUCAUCUCUUCCCAAAAGGUAGAUGUCACCUUGCAGCACUGAUACAUUGCUCUAGGAAGGUACAAGGCCAAGCAGGUCUGAUYUGAUACUUAAUGAGAGAUCAUGAAUGUGCCAUUAGGAAGACACAGUUCUGGCUGAAUGUCAUCUUGCACGAUCCCAUAUCUGCAUAUCAGGAAUGUAUCUUAUCCUAGAAUGGAAUUCCUGACAGCUUCAGUCUGAUCUUAAUGCAGCUGUGAUUGAAACCAGUUGGAAGGCUCCCAUGAGUUUCAAAUAUGCAAAGGUUCAUCUAAAUCCCUGGGGUUUAUGCAGCAAGAAGGUUGCAGCGCCAUUGCCAUUGUGAAUGAAUCUGAGCACUGACCCCACACUGUCUUUGCAGAGAAAUAAUUCCCAGUGGAGACUCUGGCACAGGAAAUGAUUUAUUCUAGCCUCACACAGGGUACUAAUCCCUUAGGAAACAUUAGACUGCAAUAUCCCAUAGCUUGUCUUGCUUUCUGAGUCUUCAUAGCUGAGCUGAAAAUCUCAGGACAGGUGCUCUUGUGAGACUUCGAGUAUUUUAUAUCUUGCUGUAGUGGGAAGUGUUAGGAGAAGAGCCUGGUGUUGGGCCGGACCUAGAAAACCUCAGUCAUGAAGAUCAGAAGUAAUGGGACAAGCACCAUCAAACUGCUCAUGUUGACAAGUCCUGGAGAUAUGCCAGGUAUCAUUCCAAGAGUUUCAUGACUGAUUUGCAAAUGUGUUUUUGUGUUGUUGUUGUUGUUGUUUUUCUUUUCCAUGUAAAGCAGCAAAAAGAAGAGGGCAAAAUUCUCAGCUUGUACAAACAUAGAAUUCCCCCGGGACCCUUGGGCACUAGCUAAAGUUCUGUUGUGAGUUUUUACCUAAACUACUUUGUGCAUAGUACAAUCAAACAUAUUUGUUAUUUUAACUAGCUUGUAGCUGAGUAGCUACUCAGUGCAUUUAAGAACUCCUCAGACUUGUGAACUGUGUCUAGCAGUGAUUUCUGCCCUUUCCUUUCUGUCUCUUCUUUCACAGAAGGCAAUUCUUUCUUCAACAGCCCCAAGGUUUCCAUUUGAAACUCUGGUGCUUAUGUCCAGCUAAAUUCUGUCUCUGCAAUACUAGACAAUGCUGUGUUGACAGCUGCACUGCAGAGUUCAACUUCAAAUACACCCCUUCUGUGGCCCAUCCAAGUAUUUGGCUUAAAAAACGAAUAAAUGGGAACACAGAUCCA
Apteryx rowi (Okarito brown kiwi) is the source of this 1863-nucleotide long non-coding RNA. The record is from Ensembl. Lineage: Eukaryota; Metazoa; Chordata; Aves; Apterygiformes; Apterygidae.